GAUGAACGCUAGCGGGAGGCUUAACACAUGCAAGUCGAGGGGCAGCAUAGGGUAGCAAUACUCUGAUGGCGACCGGCAAACGGGUGAGUAACGCGUAUGCAACCUACCCUGUACAGGGGGAUAACCCGGAGAAAUUCGGACUAAUAUCCCGUAAUAAUAUCCGGAGGCAUCUUUGGAUAUUUAAAGUUUCGACGGUACGGGAUGGGCAUGCGUAACAUUAGCUGGUUGGUAAGGUAACGGCUUACCAAGGCUAUGAUGUUUAGGGGUCCUGAGAGGGUGGUCCCCCACACUGGUACUGAGACACGGACCAGACUCCUACGGGAGGCAGCAGUGAGGAAUAUUGGUCAAUGGGCGCAAGCCUGAACCAGCCAUCCCGCGUGCAGGAAGACGGCCCUAUGGGUUGUAAACUGCUUUUCCAGGGAGAGAAACUUACGCACGUGUUGCGUGACUGACGGUACCCUGGGAAUAAGCAUCGGCUAACUCCGUGCCAGCAGCCGCGGUAAUAGUGU
RNAcentral lists this ribosomal RNA (509 nucleotides) under uncultured bacterium. RNAcentral's name for it is "bacterial SSU rRNA". It matches the Rfam family "Bacterial small subunit ribosomal RNA", at positions 28 to 528 of the family's 1533-position model. The record is from RNAcentral.